RNAcentral lists this ribosomal RNA (120 nucleotides) under uncultured bacterium. Its description in RNAcentral is "partial 16S small subunit ribosomal RNA". It matches the Rfam family "Bacterial small subunit ribosomal RNA", at positions 335 to 454 of the family's 1533-position model. The record is from RNAcentral.
ACUCCUACGGGAGGCAGCAGUGGGGAAUUUUGCGCAAUGGGGGAAACCCUGACGCAGCAACGCCGCGUGGAGGAUGAAGUCCCUUGGGACGUAAACUCCUUUCGACCGGGACGAUAAUGA